UAGUCCACGCCCUAAACGAUGUUAACUCGAUGAAUGGAGCUCGACUCUGUUCAUCCAAGGGAAACCGUUAAGUUAACCACCUGGGGAGUACGUUCGCAAGUAAUGAAACUCAAAGGAAUUGACGGGGGCUCACACAAGCGGUGGAGGAUGUGGCUUAAUUCGAGGCUACGCGAAGAACCUUACCUAGGCUUAACAUGUUUGGGAACGUCUGUGAAAGCAGAAAGUGCCUUUCGGGGAACCCUUACGUAGGUGCUGCAUGGCUGUCGUCAGCUCGUGUCGUGAGAUGUCGGGUUAAGUCCCUUAACGAGCGAAACCCGUUGUCAUUAGUUGCCAGCGAUUCGGUCGGGGACUCUAAUGAGACUGCCGGUGCAAACCGCGAGGAAGGUGGGGAUGACGUCAAAUCAUCACGGCCCUUACGUCCUGGGCUACACACGUGCUACAAUGGUAGGUACAGAGAGCAGCCACUUGGCAACAAGGAGCGAAUCUAUAAAACCUAUCACAGUUCGAAUCGGAGUCUACAACUCGACUCCGU
RNAcentral lists this ribosomal RNA (532 nucleotides) under uncultured bacterium. RNAcentral's name for it is "bacterial SSU rRNA". It matches the Rfam family "Bacterial small subunit ribosomal RNA", at positions 791 to 1321 of the family's 1533-position model. The record is from RNAcentral.